This 22-nucleotide small nuclear RNA is filed under the name Arabidopsis thaliana (thale cress). RNAcentral's name for it is "snRNA_04777". The record is from RNAcentral. Lineage: Eukaryota; Viridiplantae; Streptophyta; Magnoliopsida; Brassicales; Brassicaceae.
ACAACCCCUGUUUUUGGUCCCA